Habropoda laboriosa is the source of this 91-nucleotide non-coding RNA. NCBI's taxonomy places the organism in Eukaryota, Metazoa, Arthropoda, Insecta, Hymenoptera, Apidae. The record is from Rfam.
CCGAUUUGCAUUAUUGGGUCAGGAUAGGGUAGGGCAGGGCCAUUCGGCGUGACCAUUCUGUCCCCUGUCCUGUCCCGAUAGUGAGAAUUGG